This 75-nucleotide transfer RNA is filed under the name Bdellovibrionales bacterium. RNAcentral's name for it is "tRNA-Thr". It matches the Rfam family "tRNA". From Rfam's summary of the family: Transfer RNA (tRNA) molecules are approximately 80 nucleotides in length. Their secondary structure includes four short double-helical elements and three loops (D, anti-codon, and T loops). Lineage: Bacteria; Pseudomonadati; Bdellovibrionota; Bdellovibrionia; Bdellovibrionales. The record is from RNAcentral.
GCCGAUGUAGCUCAGUGGUAGAGCAACGCUUUCGUAAAGCGUAGGUCGGCGGUUCAAUCCCGCCCAUCGGCUCCA